ACUACACUAAACCAUUUUCAAGUCAUUAAUUCACUUCUCAAGUAACUACACUUGAUUAAUUUGAAGUCACUAGUACACAUUUAAAAACACUACACACAACCAUUUUUAACUCUCUAAUUAACUUCUCAAGUGACUAAACUUAAUCAAUUUCAAGUCAUGAAUUAACAUUUCAAGUAUGAACACUAAACCAAUUUCAAGUCAUGAAUUUACAUUUUCAAGUGAUUACACUUUACAAAUUUUAAAACACAAGUUCACCUUUCAAGAACUACACUAAACCAUUUUCAACUCGAUGAUCCACUUUUCAAGUGACUAGUACACAUUUCAAAACGCUAUACUUAACCAUUUUCAACUCUCUAAUUCACUUCUCAAGUGACUAAACAUAACCAUUUUUAAGUCAUGAUUCACAUUUCAAGUAUCAACACUAAACCAAUUUCAAGUCAUGAAUUCACAUUUUCAAGUGAUUACACUUUAAAAAUUUUAAAAUACAAGUUCACCUUUCAAGAACUACACUAAACCAUUUUCAACUCGAUGAUCCACUUUUCAAGUGACUAGUACACAUUUCAAAACGCUAUACUUAACCAUUUUCAACUCUCUAAUUCACUUCUCAAGUGACUAAACAUAACCAUUUUUAAGUCAUGAUUCACAUUUCAAGUAUCAACACUAAACCAAUUUCAAGUCAUGAAUUCACAUUUUCAAGUGAUUACACUUUACAAAUUUCAAAACACAAAAGUUCACCUUUCAAGAACAACACUAAACUAUUUUCAAAUUGCUAAUCCACUUUUCAAGUGCCUAGUACACAUUUCAAAAAACUACACACAACCAUUUUCAACUCUCUAAUUCACUUCUCAAGUAACUAAACUUAACCAAUUUUAAGUCAUUAAUUCACUUUUCAAGUAUCAACACAAAACCAAUUUCAAGUAAUGAAUUCACAUUUACAAGUGAUUACACUUUUAAAAUUUUAAAACACAAGUUUACCUUUCAAGAACUACACUAAACCAUUUUCAAGUCGGUAAUCCACUUUUCAAGUGACUAGUACACAUUUCAAAAUACUACACUUAACUAUUUUCAAAUCUCUAAUUCACUUCUCAAGUGACUAAAUAUAACCAUUUUCAUGUCAUGAAUUCACAUUUCAAGUAUCAACACUAAAUCAAUUUCAAGUCAUGAAUUCACAUUUUCAAGUGAUUACAUUUUAUAAAUUUCAAAACACAAGUUCACCUUUUAAGAACUACAUUAAACCAUUUUCAAGUCGCUAAUACACUUUUCAAGUGACU
RNAcentral lists this long non-coding RNA (1271 nucleotides) under Capsicum annuum. RNAcentral describes it as "long non-coding RNA (CANN_LNC014151)". The record is from RNAcentral. Lineage: Eukaryota; Viridiplantae; Streptophyta; Magnoliopsida; Solanales; Solanaceae.